This 30-nucleotide non-coding RNA is filed under the name Callithrix jacchus (white-tufted-ear marmoset). Lineage: Eukaryota; Metazoa; Chordata; Mammalia; Primates; Cebidae. The record is from RNAcentral. RNAcentral also lists the same sequence under 1 other name.
UACUACAGUCGAAUGGCCAACUAUCGGAAC